UCCGACAUCGUUCAUCGGUUAGGAUAAGCGGUUCUCAUCCGCUGGAGCUGGGUUCGACUCCCCGUGUCGGAA
This 72-nucleotide transfer RNA is filed under the name Trichomonas vaginalis G3. RNAcentral describes it as "tRNA-Glu". It matches the Rfam family "tRNA". Rfam says of the family: Transfer RNA (tRNA) molecules are approximately 80 nucleotides in length. Lineage: Eukaryota; Parabasalia; Trichomonadida; Trichomonadidae. The record is from RNAcentral.